AUUUUACCCACGAGAUGUCGAGGUUAAUAAGGAAAAUGCAAGAAGAGUCAACCAAACACGUGGUUUAUACAGGAACCCUAGAGUUCAUUGCAAAGCAGCCACCUCUGGAGAUUUUUCAAACAGUGCUCCUGGUCAGAUGAGCCAAUAUGAGAGAAUAAUUGAAACAUUGACGACUCUGUUUCCCUAUGGGUCAUUUUAGGUACCAUUAUUGGCAUUUACAAGCCUGCAAUGGUAACUUGGUUAGAAACAGAUCUAUUUACUGUUGGUUAACUCUGACAUUCGAUGACUUCAGACAAUGCUUGCGCAAUCCCUGGACUGUAAGUAGUGACUCAUCUGUAAACCUAAGAAAAUGUUUGUUGCAAGGAACUGAGGCCAUACAUCUGUUACCAGUUUGAUAACAGGUGGGUAUAGGAUUUUUAGCUCAAUACCUCAUCAAGCCAAUG
Molecule: long non-coding RNA, 443 nt
Organism: Sesamum indicum (sesame)
Lineage: Eukaryota; Viridiplantae; Streptophyta; Magnoliopsida; Lamiales; Pedaliaceae
Source: RefSeq, a predicted model, not a curated record